RNAcentral lists this ribosomal RNA (425 nucleotides) under uncultured bacterium. RNAcentral describes it as "bacterial SSU rRNA". It matches the Rfam family "Bacterial small subunit ribosomal RNA", at positions 355 to 796 of the family's 1533-position model. The record is from RNAcentral.
UGGGGAAUAUUGGACAAUGGGCGCAAGCCUGAUCCAGCCAUGCCGCGUGGGUGAAGAAGGCCUUAGGGUUGUAAAGCCCUUUCGGCGGGGAAGAUGAUGACGGUACCCGCAGAAGAAGCCCCGGCUAACUCCGUGCCAGCAGCCGCGGUAAUACGGAGGGGGCUAGCGUUGUUCGGAAUUACUGGGCGUAAAGGGCGCGUAGGCGGUCUGUUGCGUUGGGCGUGAAAGCCCCGGGCUUAACCUGGGAUGUGCGCACAAUACCGACAGGCUAUGAGACCGGGAGAGGAGAGUGGAAUUCCCAGUGUAGAGGUGAAAUUCGUAGAUAUUGGGAAGAACACCGGUGGCGAAGGCGGCUCUCUGGCCCGGAUCUGACGCUGAGGCGCGAAAGCGUGGGGAGCAAACAGGAUUAGAUACCCCCGUAGUCC